This is a non-coding RNA of Spinacia oleracea (spinach), 72 nucleotides long. The record is from Rfam. NCBI's taxonomy places the organism in Eukaryota, Viridiplantae, Streptophyta, Magnoliopsida, Caryophyllales, Amaranthaceae.
AAGCAUAUGACGAGUUUAUCGGAUUCCCCUUCAAGGCUUCAUGGGUGAUGUAAACUCCGACUAUCUGAUGUG